This 73-nucleotide transfer RNA is filed under the name Saccoglossus kowalevskii. Its description in RNAcentral is "tRNA-Tyr". It matches the Rfam family "tRNA". From Rfam's summary of the family: Transfer RNA (tRNA) molecules are approximately 80 nucleotides in length. Lineage: Eukaryota; Metazoa; Hemichordata; Enteropneusta; Harrimaniidae. The record is from RNAcentral.
CUUUCGAUAGCUCAGUUGGUAGAGCGGAGGACUGUAGAUCCUUAGGUCGCUGGUUCGAAUCCGGCUCGAAGAA